Benincasa hispida (wax gourd) is the source of this 3643-nucleotide RNA transcript. It is a transcript of the gene named limit dextrinase, with no coding region annotated. NCBI's taxonomy places the organism in Eukaryota, Viridiplantae, Streptophyta, Magnoliopsida, Cucurbitales, Cucurbitaceae. The record is from RefSeq and is a predicted model, not a curated record.
AUAUCUGCUGCAGAAAAUAUCGAACAAACAGUUUUCUCUUUCUCCCAGUGAAAAAAAUGUCUCUUCUGUUUUCCUCUUCCCUCCAUCUUCUACCUUCGUCAACUCCCGCAACUUCCAUUUGUUACCAAGCUCAUCCCCGUAUCGCCGCGUUUUCUUCAUCUCCUCCGGCCGGCGGAUUCUUCUCCGUAUCUGCAACUUCUCUGUCUCAUUUUCUCGACGAUAACUUUCGGAGUGGAUCUCUUUACUGCUCAUCUUCCUCGUCAAUGUCGCUCGAAGAAUCUACUUCAACUUCUCAGUUGGAGGAUAGCUUGUUGUACUCGAGAGCUUUUUGGGUGAGCAGGUAUGUUAUAGCGUGGAAUGUGGAAGUUGGGAGCGGUUCUUGCUAUCUGUUUGCCAGUAAAAUGGCUACUCUGCGUAUUGAAGAUGGUGUAGUCGAAGGCUACGAUGUGAAACUUAAGCUGGAAAAAGACCGCGGCCGGCUUCCAGAAAAUGUGAUCAAAAAGUUCCCUCAUAUUCAAAACUACUGCCCUUUCACAGUCCCUCUUGCAUCAGACGUUGAAGCACUCCUCAAAUGUCAACUGGCAGUAGCCACUUUCAACUCUUAUGGUGAAUGCAACAAUAUUACUUGCCUGCAGCUACCCGGUGUUCUGGAUGACUUGUUCUCAUAUGAAGGUCCUCUAGGUGCAGUUUACUCCAAAGAGGCUGUAUCACUUUACCUUUGGGCUCCAACUGCUCAGGCUGUACGGGCUCAAAUUUUUAGGGACCCAGUGGGUGGGACGCCAUUUGAAGUUAUUCAGCUUGAGGAGCUUGAUGGCGUUUGGAGAACCAAAGGACCAAAAAGUUGGGAAGGCUGUUAUUAUGAAUAUGAAGUAACAGUCUACCAUCCUAGCACCUUGCAAAUUGAAAAAUGCUUUACUACUGAUCCUUAUUCUAGAGGGAUCUCAUCAGAUGGAAGGCGGACAUUAUUUGUUGAUAUUGGCUCCAAUGACUUAAUACCUAAGGGUUGGGAUAAAUUAGCUGACGAGAAACACCCAGUGGAUUCAUUUUCUGACAUUAGUAUUUAUGAGUUGCAUGUAAGGGAUUUUAGUAUAAGUGAUCAAAGUGUGCAUCCUGAUCUGCGUGGUGGUUUUAUGGCUUUCACUUUGCAGGAUUCUGCUGGAAUCAAUCAUUUAAAGAAGCUAUCGAAUGCUGGUAUUAGUCAUGUUCAUCUACUGCCAACCUUCCAAUUUGGUGGUGUUGAUGACGACAAGACAAAGUGGAAGUUUUUCGAUACCGAACUUCUGGAAGAUCUUCCUCCUGAUUCAGCUGAACAGGAAUCAUUAAUUGCAGAUAUCCUAAACAGCGAUGGGUAUAACUGGGGGUAUAAUCCUAUUCUGUGGGGAGUACCUAAAGGAAGCUAUGCAAGUGAUCCUAAUGGUCCUUGUCGUGUAAUUGAGUUCCGAAAGAUGGUUCAGGCACUUAACCAAAUUGGCCUUCGUGUUGUGUUGGAUGUUGUCUAUAAUCAUCUACAUGGACAUGGACCUUUUGAUCCAAAUUCUGUUCUUGAUAAGAUUGUACCAGGGUAUUAUUUGAGAAGGAACGCUGAUGGUUUCAUUGAGAAUAGUACCUGUGUAAAUAACACUGCCAGUGAACAUUUUAUGGUUGAACGCAUGAUUGUGGAUGAUAUCUUACACUGGGUAGUUGAUUAUAAGGUUGAUGGAUUUCGGUUUGAUCUUAUGGGCCAUUUGAUGAAAAGUACUAUGUUGAAAGCUAAAGAUGCACUUCAAGGCUUAACUAAGGAAAAGAAUGGAGUUGAUGGUUCAAGUAUCUAUAUAUAUGGUGAGGGAUGGGACUUUGGCGAAGUCGCGAAAAAUGGACGUGGAGUAAAUGCAUCACAGUUCAACCUUUUUGGAACUGGAAUUGGGAGUUUUAAUGACCGGGUUCGAGACGCAAUACUUGGUGGAUCUCCAUUUGGGCAUCCUCUUCAGCAAGGAUUUGUGACUGGCCUAUUGCUAGAGCCUAAUGAUCAUGACCAUGGUACAGACAAAGUUGCGGAAUCUAUGCUUGCUGUGUCAAAGGAUCAUAUUGAGGUUGCGAUGGCUGCCAAUUUGAGGGACUAUGUUCUAACCAAUUUUGAAGGACAAGAGGUGAAGGGGUUAGAAGUACUGACUCAUGAUGGAUCUCCAGUGGCGUAUGCUUCUUGCCCCUCAGAAACUGUGAAUUAUGUUUCUGCUCAUGAUAAUGAAACUCUAUUCGACAUCGUGAGUUUGAAGACUCCAAGGAACAUUGCCGUGGAUGAUAGGUGCAGGAUUAAUCAUUUAGCCACCAGUAUUAUAGCACUAUCACAGGGAAUACCAUUUUUCCACUGUGGUGAUGAAUUACUACGCUCAAAAUCAAUGGAUCGUGAUUCAUACAACUCUGGUGAUUGGUUCAACAGACUCGACUUCACGUACACGACAAAUAAUUGGGGCGUUGGCCUUCCUCCAAAAGAGAAGAACGAAUACAAUUGGCCCCUAAUAAAACCUAGAUUGGCUGAUCCCUCCUUCAAGCCUAGUAAAACUCAUAUUCUUGCUGCUGUGGAAAAUUGCACAAAUCUGUUACAAAUCAGAUACUCUUCACCCCUUUUCCGUUUGAAGACAUCUAAUGCUAUCCAGAGACGAGUCCGUUUCCACAACUCAGGUGCAUCACUUAUACCUGGACUGAUAGUGAUGAGCAUUGAAGAUGGGCACGAAGGCAUUCCAGGGUUAAGUCAGCUGGAUUCAAUCUACUCGUACAUUGUUGUUGUGGUUAAUGCACGUCCAACUGAGAUUUCAUUUCCUUGUCCUGCAUUGCGGGCAAGGACUCUUCAAUUACAUCCCAUUCAGUUAAUGUCAACCGAUCCCAUUGUAAAAAAUUCAACAUACGAGCCAUCCACAGGAUGCUUCAUGGUGCCUCCAAGGACGACAGCAGUAUUUGUGGAGCCUCGGAUAUAUGAGUAGCCAUAUUCUCUGAAAUGUUAUGUCAAUGAUGGGGAUUGAACACACAAUUUUAUUUUGAACUGGGUCCUACUCCUAGAUGGAUGGACUGUACAACUGAAAGUAGAGACUUUUGGAGAAAAUUCCUCUUCUCCGUGGGGCCAUGCUGUGUGUUUCGUGCAAGAGAAGAAGAUUGAGUUCUCACUCAGAAUUCUUAAAAAGAAAAAAGCUUGAAUGGUGGACGAUAAUGGUGGAAUAAUAGAAGAAUUUGGGUAGUGCUUCAACCAAUCUUUAGUUGAGAAGUCUCCUUCUUAGACAAUUUUCGGAUGAGCUAUUUAUAGGCGUCAAAUGGAAGCUUCAUUGCCUCUUCCUAAUAAUGCUUUGACAUGUUUGUAUUUAAUUCCAUGCUCUGCUGCGUCGACUACUCGCGUCACAGGUUCAUCGGCUACCAACUUGCAUUUUGAUUUGACAUCUACCGGUCAUGCAUUUGUCUUUUUCUCUCUUCAUGUUUCUGCUCGUCACAUAGUUUUUUGCAUGCAAAAUUUGGAGUUGAUUUGAUCAAUUCAUAUGCGUCCACGGCUGUAGCUUUUGUUUCUUUGGUUUGUUUUUGCUUUUUUUUCAUCAGAAAUCUUGCAUUCAAAAGAUAUUAAAUUUUAUAAUUUUUAGGAUAAUAAGUUUUGUAAAUGCAUGAACGCAAAGCAAUUUUUUUA